This 472-nucleotide small RNA is filed under the name uncultured Paraglomus. RNAcentral's name for it is "bacterial SSU rRNA". It matches the Rfam family "Eukaryotic small subunit ribosomal RNA", at positions 569 to 1043 of the family's 1831-position model. The record is from RNAcentral. Lineage: Eukaryota; Fungi; Glomeromycota; Glomeromycetes; Paraglomerales; Paraglomeraceae.
AGCAGCCGCGGUAAUUCCAGCUCCAAUAGCGUAUAUUAAAGUUGUUGCAGUUAAAAAGCUCGUAGUUGAACCUUAGGCCCGUGCGGGUGGUCCGUCCUCUGGGCGAGCACUGCCUCGUCGCGGGUCUCACCUUCUGGCGAGCGUGGAUGCCAUUCACUUGGUGUCGGCGGGAACCAGGACCUUUACCUUGAAAAAUUAGAGUGCUCAAAGCGGGCUCGUACGCUUGAAUACAUUAGCAUGGAAUAAUGAAAUAGGACGACGGUUCUAUUUUGUUGGUUUCCGGGACAGUCGUAAUGAUUAAUAGGGAUAGUUGGGGGCAUUCGUAUUCAAUUGUCAGAGGUGAAAUUCUUGGAUUUAUUGAAGACGAACUACUGCGAAAGCAUUUGCCAAGGAUGUUUUCAUUAAUCAAGAACGAAAGUUGGGGGAUCGAGGACGAUCAGAUACCGUCGUAGUCUCAACCAUAAACUAUGCC